UGAGAAGAGACCGGAAAAAGGGUAUAGGGA
RNAcentral lists this non-coding RNA (30 nucleotides) under Rattus norvegicus (Norway rat). The record is from RNAcentral. Lineage: Eukaryota; Metazoa; Chordata; Mammalia; Rodentia; Muridae.